Molecule: ribosomal RNA, 460 nt
Filed under: uncultured bacterium
Lineage: Bacteria
Description: partial 16S ribosomal RNA
Rfam family: Bacterial small subunit ribosomal RNA
Source: RNAcentral
CCUACGGGAGUCAGCAGUGAGGAAUAUUGGUCAAUGGACGAGAGUCUGAACCAGCAAAGUAGCGUGAUGGAUGACUGCCCUAUGGGUUGUAAACUUCUUUUAUAUGGGAAUAAUAUGAUCCACGUGUGGGAUUUUGUAUGUACCAUAUGAAUGAGGAUCGGCUAACUCCGUGGCAGGAGCCGCGGGAAUACGGAGGAUACGAGCGUUAACCGGAUUUAUUGGGUUUAAAGGGAGCGGAGGUGGAUUGUUAAGUCAGUUGUGAAAGUUUGCGGCUCAACCGUAAAAUUGCAGUUGAAACUGGCAGUCUUGAGUACAGUAGAGGUGGGCGGAAUUCGUGGUGUAGCGGUGAAAUGCUUAGAUAUCACGAAGAACUCCGAUGGCGAAGGCAGCCCACUGGACUUCAACUGACACUGAGGCUCGAAAGUGUGGGUAUCAAACAGGAUUAGAUACCCUAGUAGUC